UUCCUUUGCAGGCUCAGCGGCGGUGCCUUCCAGCCUUACUCACAGGAGAAAGACUCCCUCCACAGCUGGUCCCAACCCAAAACGAGGCAGACCAUGGAGGCCAUGAUGUCAUCAUCCCAGGACCACAAUCAGUCACGUGUAGCACAGGAGGCCCUGCUUACACCAGUAUGUGAUACAGGCCAUUCAGAGGUCCUGCGGGGGCGUCUGCUGGGCACUCAGCCCUUUGAUAAAGGGCUGGGCUUCUCCCAUCAGGAGGGGGAAUUACGUGCAUGGGACCAGGACAGACGGAAGGCACAGGUGUGUCCCCUGGGCCUGUCCGGUCUGAGCAAAGAGCAUGUUUUUGGGCACAGUCUUGACUUCAAUUAUUCGGUAAUGAUAAUUAAUCCAACAAUUAUUCCCUCCUUGCAGAAGGAUGAUCCAAUAGAUCUCACCAGUGAUCAUCUACAUGAAGAGCAGUUUACUGAUGAGCAUGGGAAUGUUGUGACCAAGUUGGGCAUGGAUGUGAAAAGGGAUGUCCAGACUGUGAAGCACUCCAGCCUGCGGCGAGUAAAGCACUGAAAUAAACACAAACUGUCCUGAAGGGUUGAACAUCCACUGCCAAACCAUCCUUCACCUACGCACGACUGGGAGACAGGAUGAGACAUGGAGCGAUGAGGGAAAAAAACAAAACAUGCAGCGAAAGAACAACACAUCGCGCCCAAAUCCUACAGUCAAGCAACCAUGGAGCACCACCGGAAAACAACAAGGAGAAGGAGUUCUCUUCCUGUAGUUUUGUAACAUUUUUAACAGAAGAAAAAAAUAAACAGGGCAUGAACUUUUUAUACAAAAUGUGAAAAAAAGUGCUUCCUGUCAACUGUAAAUGCAUGACUGACUGCUGCUGCAUGACCUAUGAGCUGUCAUUAUCUAAACAACUGAAGGGGUACAAGGUAAAGGGCCGUUCCAGGACUGGCAGCGGGGAGGGCAAAACCUUUGAACCUUUGAUCUUGAAAACGAGAGACUCUUGAAACAAAGGGUCUUGGGAACACAACAGCCCAAAAAAAGCAACAGUUCUUUAUUUUGUCAAACUGAUUGUCAUUACACAGCAGCAUA
RNAcentral lists this long non-coding RNA (1089 nucleotides) under Sinocyclocheilus grahami. Its description in RNAcentral is "lncRNA (ENSSGRG00000024913.1)". Lineage: Eukaryota; Metazoa; Chordata; Actinopteri; Cypriniformes; Cyprinidae. The record is from RNAcentral.